GUGCUCACUUCCGUAGCACAUACACUAAAAUAGGAACGAUACAGAGAAGAUUAGCAUGGCCCCGGCACAAGGAUGACAUGCAAAUUCGUGAAGCCUUCCAUAUUUUU
Molecule: small nuclear RNA, 107 nt
Organism: Choloepus hoffmanni (Hoffmann's two-fingered sloth)
Lineage: Eukaryota; Metazoa; Chordata; Mammalia; Pilosa; Megalonychidae
Source: Ensembl